Molecule: ribosomal RNA, 425 nt
Filed under: uncultured bacterium
Lineage: Bacteria
Description: partial 16S ribosomal RNA
Rfam family: Bacterial small subunit ribosomal RNA
Source: RNAcentral
GUGGGGAAUAUUGGACAAUGGGCGCAAGCCUGAUCCAGCCAUGCCGCGUGAGUGAUGAAGGCCUUAGGGUUGUAAAGCUCUUUUGUCCGGGAAGAUAAUGACUGUACCGGAAGAAUAAGCCCCGGCUAACUUCGUUCCAGCAGCCGCGGUAAUACGAAGGGGGCUAGCGUUUUUCGGAAUCACUGGGCGUAAAGCGCACGUAGGCGGACCAUUAAGUUCGUGGUGAAAGCCUGGAGCUCAACUCCAGAACUGACUUUGAUACUGAUGGUCUCGAGUAUGGAAGAGGUUGGUGGAACUGCGAGUGUAGAGGUGAAAUUAGUAGAUAUUCGCAAGAACACCGGUGGCGAAGGCGGCCAACUGGUCCAUUACUGACGCUGAGGUGCGAAAGCGUGGGGAGCAAACAGGAUUAGAAACCCUGGUAGUCC